UCCCUGGUGGCUCAGAUGGUAUAGAAUCUGCCUGCAAUGCAGGAGACCUGGGUUAGAUCUCCUGUUUGGGAA
RNAcentral lists this transfer RNA (72 nucleotides) under Ovis aries (sheep). It matches the Rfam family "tRNA". Rfam says of the family: Transfer RNA (tRNA) molecules are approximately 80 nucleotides in length. Their secondary structure includes four short double-helical elements and three loops (D, anti-codon, and T loops). Further hydrogen bonds mediate the characteristic L-shaped molecular structure. tRNAs have two regions of fundamental functional importance: the anti-codon, which is responsible for specific mRNA codon recognition, and the 3' end, to which the tRNAs corresponding amino acid is attached (by aminoacyl-tRNA synthetases). tRNAs cope with the degeneracy of the genetic code in two manners: having more than one tRNA (with a specific anti-codon) for a particular amino acid; and 'wobble' base-pairing, i.e. permitting non-standard base-pairing at the 3rd anti-codon position. The record is from Rfam by way of RNAcentral. Lineage: Eukaryota; Metazoa; Chordata; Mammalia; Artiodactyla; Bovidae.